UGCACUAUGCAGCAAAGAUAAUGAGUAUGUUGCACAUCUCUUCUUUAUGUCCCCUUAUUUAGCACAAGUCUGGAAUACCAUCUAAUAUAGCUGCAGAUUCAUAGACAAGCUCAAGGAUGGAUCUGGGAUGAAUUAGGCAAUUAUAAACUUCAAAGAUCGAAGUUUACAUGCUGAAGUUUUUAGAAUGACAUUAGUUGCGGGAGUUAAUAUUGAGAAAAAGGAAUUAGAGGAUCUUCCAAACAGAGAACAGAACAGAAGGCUUCAAGUCCUCAUUAUGUUGUUAAUUCAAGAUCCUCAUACUAGAGGAGUUAGUGAAAGCAACAUUAUUUAGAAUGUUAUUGGUUAUUUGGUCAUAUUUCAUUGUUAAAUUUGAAAAAAAAAUAAAAAAAUUUGAUUUCAAAGUGAAAAAUGAUAUAUGAAAAUUGGAAUUGUGUUUGAUCAUGAAUAUAAAUUGGAGUUUAUUCAUAAAUUAAAGUUAUUUUUGACUUUUUGUGAGUAAUUGGAGCG
RNAcentral lists this long non-coding RNA (507 nucleotides) under Solanum tuberosum (potato). RNAcentral describes it as "long non-coding RNA (STUB_LNC007239)". The record is from RNAcentral. Lineage: Eukaryota; Viridiplantae; Streptophyta; Magnoliopsida; Solanales; Solanaceae.